This 495-nucleotide ribosomal RNA is filed under the name uncultured bacterium. RNAcentral's name for it is "partial 16S ribosomal RNA". It matches the Rfam family "Bacterial small subunit ribosomal RNA", at positions 28 to 507 of the family's 1533-position model. The record is from RNAcentral.
GACGAACGCUGGCGGCGUGCCUAAUACAUGCAAGUAGAACGCUGAAGGAGGAGCUUGCUUCUCUGGAUGAGUUGCGAACGGGUGAGUAACGCGUAGGUAACCUGCCUGGUAGCGGGGGAUAACUAUUGGAAGCGAUAGCUAAUACCGCAUAAGAGUAGAUGUUGCAUGACAUUUACUUAAAAGGUGCAAUUGCAUCACUACCAGAUGGACCUGCGUUGUAUUAGCUAGUUGGUGAGGUAACGGCUCACCAAGGCAACGAUACAUAGCCGACCUGAGAGGGUGAUCGGCCACACUGGGACUGAGACACGGCCCAGACUCCUACGGGAGGCAGCAGUAGGGAAUCUUCGGCAAUGGACGGAAGUCUGACCGAGCAACGCCGCGUGAGUGAAGAAGGUUUUCGGAUCGUAAAGCUCUGUUGUAAGAGAAGAACGAGUGUGAGAGUGGAAAGUUCACACUGUGACGGUAUCUUACCAGAAAGGGACGGCUAACUACGUG